Molecule: ribosomal RNA, 403 nt
Filed under: uncultured bacterium
Lineage: Bacteria
Description: partial 16S ribosomal RNA
Rfam family: Bacterial small subunit ribosomal RNA
Source: RNAcentral
GACGAACGCUGGCGGCGUGCCUAAUACAUGCAAGUCGAACGCAGUGGGGACGGGUGAGUAACACGUGGGUAACCUCCCAUCAGAGGGGAUAACACUUGGAAACAGGUGCUAAACCGAUACUGAUGGAUGGACCCGCGGUGCAUUAGCUAGUUGGGGAGGUAACGGCUCACCAAGGCCAGGAUGCAUAGCCGACCGGAGAGAUUGAUGGGCCACACUGGCACUGGGAACCGGCCCAGACCCCUACGGGAGGCAUCAGUGGGAAAUCUUCGGAAAUGGACGAAAGUCGAACCGAGCAACGCCGCGUUAGUGAAGAAGGUUUUCGGUUCGUAAAACUCUGUUGUCAGGGAAGCGGUAUCUAACCAGAAAGCCACGGCUAACUACGUGCCAGCAGCCGCGGUAAUUC